UCGUGAGUGGCAUCUUGGCUGACUUUUUCCUCAACAAGAAAUAUCUCACAGCCACCGUGGUCAGAAAAAUACUCAUCGGCGUCGGUUUCGGACUUGUAUGCGUGGGUUUCCUGGUACUGACCACUCUGUCGGGCGGCUUAGCUGUUAUCAUAGUCCUCACUAUGUCUCUCGGCGCGUUCGGUCUAGCCGUGUCAGGUUGGUCAGUUAAUCAUUACGACAUCUCAACCCAGCGUCCUUGUUGCGGUGACCGCGACCUCUGGAUCCAUCGGAUCCAUCCUUGUUCCCAUAGUAACCGGCUACCUGACCGUUAAACAGGACCUUGCUGGUUGGGCCCACGUGUUCUACCUCACUGCAGGAAUCAUAAUGCUGGCAACCAUCUUCUAUCUAAUCUUUGGCUCCGGCAAAACCCAGAUGUGGUCCAACCCUACAUCAAACUUCUGCCUCGUUGAAAAAAUGACCCUUUGGCCAAAAAAUCGUACAGUGCCAUCCAGGUUCAAAACUGCCCGCCCUGUACCUAUGUGGAUAAACCGGUAGGACAACACAGUAAAAUCAUGGCGACUCAACCUAAUACAAGUUUACCAUCAGUUGCAAACGUUGAUGGUUUGGAAAGUGUGGAAAGUCAGACAGAAAGGAGAAUGUAUAAUAUGAUGAUGAGUCAAAUGAUGUUGAUGAUAGUGGAUAAAUGGAGGCUACUUUGCAAUCUUUGCCAGGUGAAGAAAUGAUACCAAGAAAGAGUAUUAUAAUGAAGCUAAACAAGCUCUUCAAACGGAGAUCAACUUUCCUUUGAAUGAACAUUCGUGUAUGAGGGGAUGAAAUGGUUAUGUAAUUGCGUUUAUAUGUAACAGUCAUUUCUUUCCACGAAGUCUUAUUUUGUAAGAGAGAAGUGUUAUAUAUUAUUGUUGAAGUUUUUUUAAUAUAAGUUGCAUUUUAAAAACAAUCAGGCAAUUAUAUUUGUUUAAACCAUUUUUUAAACUAGUGUAUUG
Long non-coding RNA from Dreissena polymorpha, 983 nucleotides. RefSeq lists it as uncharacterized. The record is from RefSeq and is a predicted model, not a curated record. The transcript has 5 exons. Lineage: Eukaryota; Metazoa; Mollusca; Bivalvia; Myida; Dreissenidae.